GAUGAACGCUGACAGCAUGCUUAACACAUGCAAGUCCACUUGAAUUUGGGUUUUUACCUUAGGUUUGGGUGGCGGACGGGUGAGUAACGCGUAAAGAACUUGCCUCACAGCUAGGGACAACAUUUGGAAACGAAUGCUAAUACCUAAUAUUAUGAUAAUAGGGCAUCCUAUAAUUAUGAAAGCUAUAAGCGCUGUGAGAGAGCUUUGCGUCCCAUUAGCUAGUUGGAGAGGUAACGGCUCACCAAGGCGAUGAUGGGUAGCCGGCCUGAGAGGGUGAUCGGCCACAAGGGGACUGAGACACGGCCCUUACUCCUACGGGAGGCAGCAGUGGGGAAUAUUGGACAAUGGACCAAGAGUCUGAUCCAGCAAUUCUGUGUGCACGAUGAAGUUUUUCGGAAUGUAAAGUGCUUUCAGUUGGGAAGAAAGAAAUGACGGUACCAACAGAAGAAGUGACGGCUAAAUACGUG
This 467-nucleotide ribosomal RNA is filed under the name uncultured bacterium. RNAcentral's name for it is "partial 16S ribosomal RNA". It matches the Rfam family "Bacterial small subunit ribosomal RNA", at positions 28 to 507 of the family's 1533-position model. The record is from RNAcentral.